UGAUCGCACACACGACCUUCCGGUUGAGAGACGACCGACUCUACCGGCUGAGCCACAGCAGCCCCAGUUGGUGACUGUGAUAGAUCUGAUCACGACCUGCCAUGCUGCCAUUGCCAAAAACUUAUGGGGCAUUUUGCCACUGCCUCACAGGGACCAAAAAGCUCCUCAGCAGCGGCGGCUGAAAAGAGUUUUGCCUUUACAGCCUCCACCAACUGGUUUGCGUUUGUUCGCACUCUACAACACUCCAACAAUACAUUGCAUUCAUGACUGAUUUACCUAAUUAUGAUUGUUUUAACUUUAGUUUGAUAAUAAAUUAACUUCCUUUAAACCUUG
This is a non-coding RNA of Labrus bergylta (ballan wrasse), 333 nucleotides long. NCBI's taxonomy places the organism in Eukaryota, Metazoa, Chordata, Actinopteri, Labriformes, Labridae. The record is from RefSeq and is a predicted model, not a curated record.